UUUUUUUUUUUUUUUUUUUUUUUUUUUUUUUUUUUUUUCUC
Molecule: non-coding RNA, 41 nt
Filed under: Alexandrium minutum
Lineage: Eukaryota; Dinophyceae; Gonyaulacales; Pyrocystaceae
Source: RNAcentral